RNAcentral lists this ribosomal RNA (512 nucleotides) under uncultured bacterium. RNAcentral describes it as "partial 16S ribosomal RNA". It matches the Rfam family "Bacterial small subunit ribosomal RNA", at positions 28 to 523 of the family's 1533-position model. The record is from RNAcentral.
GACGAACGCUGGCGGCGUGCCUAAUACAUGCAAGUCGAGCGGAACUGGGGGAGCUUGCUCCUUCCAGUUUAGCGGCGGACGGGUGAGUAACGCGUGGGCAACCUGCCCUGCAGAUCGGGAUAACCCCGGGAAACCGGUGCUAAUACCGAAUAGUUUGGCGCCUCUCCUGAGGCGCCACGGAAAGACGGUUUCGGCUGUCACUGCAUGAUGGGCCCGCGGCGCAUUAGCUAGUUGGUGGGGUAACGGCCCACCAAUGCGACGAUGCGUAGCCGACCUGAGAGGGUGACCGGCCACACUGGGACUGAGACACGGCCCAGACUCCUACGGGAGGCAGCAGUAGGGAAUCUUCCGCAAUGGACGCAAGUCUGACGGAGCAACGCCGCGUGAGUGACGAAGGUUUUCGGAUCGUAAAACUCUGUUGUGAGGGAAGAACACGUACCAACUAACUAUUGGUACCUUGACGGUACCUCACCAGAAAGCCACGGCUAACUACGUGCCAGCAGCCGCCGUAA